This 912-nucleotide ribosomal RNA is filed under the name uncultured bacterium. Its description in RNAcentral is "bacterial SSU rRNA". It matches the Rfam family "Bacterial small subunit ribosomal RNA", at positions 8 to 913 of the family's 1533-position model. The record is from RNAcentral.
AGAGUUUGAUCCUGGCUCAGAUUGAACGCUGGCGGAAUGCUUUACACAUGCAAGUCGAACGGUAACAGCAGAGCUUGCUCUGGCUGACGAGUGGCGGACGGGUGAGUAAUAUAUCGGAACGUGUCCAAUAAUGGGGGAUAACUAGCCGAAAGGUUGGCUAAUACCGCAUACGCCCUGAGGGGGAAAGCUGGGGAUCUUCGGACCUGGCGUUAAUGGAGCGGCCGAUACCUGAUUAGCUAGUAGGUGGGGUAAAAGCCUACCUAGGCAACGAUCAGUAGCUGGUCUGAGAGGACGACCAGCCACACUGGGACUGAGACACGGCCCAGACUCCUACGGGAGGCAGCAGUGGGGAAUUUUGGACAAUGGGGGCAACCCUGAUCCAGCCAUUCCGCGUGAGUGAAGAAGGCCUUCGGGUUGUAAAGCUCUUUCGCAAGAGAAGAAACGAUAUAGGUUAAUAGCCUAUGUUAAUGACGGUAUCUUGACAAGAAGCACCGGCUAACUACGUGCCAGCAGCCGCGGUAAUACGUAGGGUGCAAGCGUUAAUCGGAAUUACUGGGCGUAAAGCGUGCGCAGGCGGUUUGGUAAGUCAGAUGUGAAAUCCCCGAGCUCAACUUGGGAACUGCGUUUGAAACUACCAGACUAGAAUAUGUCAGAGGGGGGUAGAAUUCCACGUGUAGCAGUGAAAUGCGUAGAGAUGUGGAGGAAUACCAAUGGCGAAGGCAGCCCCCUGGGAUAAUAUUGACGCUCAUGUACGAAAGCGUGGGGAGCGAACAGGAUUAGAUACCCUGGUAGUCCACGCCCUAAACGAUGUCAACUAGUUGUUGGUGGAGUAAAAUCCAUGAGUAACGUAGCUAACGCGUGAAGUUGACCGCCUGGGGAGUACGGUCGCAAGAUUAAACUCAAAUGAAUUGA